GGGGGCAACCCUGAUCCAGCCAUGCCGCGUGUGUGAAGAAGGCUUUCGGGUUGUAAAGCACUUUCAGAGGUGAGGAAAGGUGCGUGGCGAAUACCCACGUACUGUGACGUUAGCCUCAGAAGAAGCACCGGCUAACUCCGUGCCAGCAGCCGCGGUAAUACGGAGGGUGCGAGCGUUAAUCGGAAUAACUGGGCGUAAAGCGCGCGUAGGUGGUUGAGUCAGUCAGAUGUGAAAGCCCCGGGCUUAACCUGGGAACAGCACCUGAUACUGCUUGACUAGAGUACGGUAGAGGGCAGUGGAAUUUCCUGUGUAGCGGUGAAAUGCGUAGAUAUAGGAAGGAACACCAGUGGCGAAGGCGACUGCCUGGACCGAUACUGACACUGAGGUGCGAAAGCGUGGGUAGCAAACAGGAUUAGAUACCCUGGUAGUCCACGCCGUAAACGAUGUCGACUAGCUGUUGGGAGACUUGAUCUUUUAGUAGCGAAGUUAACGCGAUAAGUCGACCGC
RNAcentral lists this ribosomal RNA (507 nucleotides) under DMSP-degrading marine bacterium JA23. Its description in RNAcentral is "bacterial SSU rRNA". It matches the Rfam family "Bacterial small subunit ribosomal RNA", at positions 373 to 872 of the family's 1533-position model. Lineage: Bacteria; Pseudomonadati; Pseudomonadota; Gammaproteobacteria. The record is from RNAcentral.